This 622-nucleotide long non-coding RNA is filed under the name Homo sapiens (human). RNAcentral's name for it is "HSALNT0027091". Lineage: Eukaryota; Metazoa; Chordata; Mammalia; Primates; Hominidae. The record is from RNAcentral.
CUAGGAAUUGUGGUUGGCCAGCAUGUUAUCUUGACCAGACACUUCUGAAAAUCUGCUUUGUGUGUCUUAAGUUGGCAAUGUCACUGUUCCAGACCAGCAUGAAUCCUGGUCUCCAGUCCACACCUCUGCCGGACAGAGGUCCAUGCCAGUGAUACCAUGACUGGGAAGCCACCACUGAGCCCAUGUCCUCAGUCUUCCUCAGGCCUUCAGUGUGUGUCACUGAGUGGACCUCUGUGACAUCUCGUCUUCCUCAGGCCUUCAGUGUGUGUUUGUCACUGAGUGGACCUCUGUGACAUCUCGUCUUCCUCAGGCCUUCAGUGUGUGUUUGUCACUGAGUGGACCUCUGUGACAUCUAGUCUUCCUCAGGCCUUCAGUGUGUGUUUGUCACUGAGUGGACCUCUGUGACAUCUCGUCUUCCUCAGGCCUUCAGUGUGUGUUUGUCACUGAGUGGACCUCUGUGACAUCUCGUCUUCCUCAGGCCUUCAGUGUGUGUUUGUCACUGAGUGGACCUCUGUGACAUCUAGUCUUCCUCAGGCCUUCAGUGUGUGUUUGUCACUGAGUGGACCUCUGUGACAUCUAGUCUUCCUCAGGCCUUCAGUGUGUGUUUGUCACUGAGUGGACC